AUUGAACGCUGGCGGAAUGCUUUACACAUGCAAGUCGAACGGCAGCACGGACUUCGGUCUGGUGGCGAGUGGCGAACGGGUGAGUAAUACAUCGGAACGUGCCCAGUCGUGGGGGAUAACGUAGCGAAAGCUACGCUAAUACCGCAUACGAUCUAAGGAUGAAAGCGGGGGAUCGCAAGACCUCGCGCGAUUGGAGCGGCCGAUGGCAGAUUAGGUAGUUGGUAGGGUAAAGGCCUACCAAGCCGACGAUCUGUAGCUGGUCUGAGAGGAUGAUCAGCCACACCGGGACUGAGACACGGCCCAGACUCCUACGGGAGGCAGCAGUGGGGAAUUUUGGACAAUGGGCGCAAGCCUGAUCCAGCCAUUCCGCGUGCAGGAUGAAGGCCUUCGGGUUGUAAACUGCUUUUGUACAGAACGAAAAGGCUCUGGUUAAUACCCGGGGCUCAUGACGGUACUGUAAGAAUAAGCACCGGCUAACUACGUGCCAGCAGCCGCCGCAG
RNAcentral lists this ribosomal RNA (500 nucleotides) under uncultured bacterium. Its description in RNAcentral is "partial 16S ribosomal RNA". It matches the Rfam family "Bacterial small subunit ribosomal RNA", at positions 30 to 523 of the family's 1533-position model. The record is from RNAcentral.